RNAcentral lists this ribosomal RNA (800 nucleotides) under uncultured bacterium. RNAcentral describes it as "bacterial SSU rRNA". It matches the Rfam family "Bacterial small subunit ribosomal RNA", at positions 60 to 872 of the family's 1533-position model. The record is from RNAcentral.
AGUUGAGCGGAGAUAUAUGGAGCUUGCUUUAUAUAACUUAGCAGCGAACGGGUGAGUAACACGUAGAUAAUCUAUCCUAUACUGGGGGAUAGCCCGAUGAAAGUUGGAUUAAUACCGCAUAUAGCUAUAUAGUUGCAUGAUUAUGUAGUGAAAGAUUUAUUGGUAUAGGAGGAGUCUGCGGCACAUUAGCUAGUAGGUGAGGUAAAGGCUUACCUAGGCGACGAUGUGUAGCCGGUCUGAGAGGAUGAACGGCCACAAUGGAACUGAGACACGGUCCAUACUCCUACGGGAGGCAGCAGUGGGGAAUAUUGCACAAUGGGGGAAACCCUGAUGCAGCAACGCCGCGUGAGUGAAGAAGGUUUUCGGAUUGUAAAGCUCUGUUAGCAGGGAAGAGGAAGGACGGUACCUGCAGAGGAAGCCACGGCUAACUACGUGCCAGCAGCCGCGGUAAUACGUAGGUGGCAAGCGUUGUUCGGAAUAACUGGGCGUAAAGGAUGCGUAGGCGGUUAAACAAGUUAUAUGUUAAAUAUAUAGGCUUAACCUGUAGAAAGCAUAUAAAACUGUUUAACUAGAGUGCAGGAGAGGUAAGUGGAAUUCCUAGUGUAGCGGUGAAAUGUGUAGAGAUUAGGAAGAACACCAGUGGCGAAGGCGACUUACUGGACUGUAACUGACGCUGAGGCAUGAGAGCAUGGGGAGCAAACAGGAUUAGAUACCCUGGUAGUCCAUGCUGUAAACGAUGGGUACUAGGUGUGGGUUGUGAAUAACAAUUCGUGCCGUCGCAAACGCAAUAAGUACCCCGC